RNAcentral lists this long non-coding RNA (2381 nucleotides) under Anas platyrhynchos platyrhynchos (common mallard). RNAcentral describes it as "lncRNA (ENSAPLG00000027424.1)". The record is from RNAcentral. Lineage: Eukaryota; Metazoa; Chordata; Aves; Anseriformes; Anatidae.
AGUACCUCCUUUUUCUCUAGUUCUCCAUGUACCUGCUCUUUUAAAGCUUUUUGUUGCUGCUUUAUUGUUCUUCCAUCUCUGAUGCUUUAUGCAGCAGCCUGCCUUGUAGGUAUGUAAUGGGAUAAAAUGAGCAGCUAGAAACACGCUGCUAACAAAAUGCAAAAAAUGAUAAACUGCCAUGGUUACAAAGGGAUGAAUUAAAACAGCUAGCUGCACAGCAGGUUGAUCCUGAGCUAAGAAAAUCUUUCAGCAAUAGCCAUGACCACUGCUGUUGAUAUGUGUGUAGCCGUAAAUCUGGAUGUAGAGGAGCCACUUGACUGAAUUUGCAGGUGCUGCACACUGAUCUGCUUACUGGAGUGCUUUUUGCUGUAAACAUGUAAGGAUGAACAUGUUUGCUUCAGGAAAAAAAAAAAUAGAGAGAGAAAAAAAGGAAUAAAAAACAGGAAAGGAGGGAAUGGCUGUAGAUGAGUCAUUUCUCUGCACACAGCAAGGCCCACAUACCAAAAACCAAAACACACUUUGCAAAGUGCGGGUACCCCAAAAUGACCCGAAAUGAUGCCAGGGCACCGCGGGCUCACUUGGGAUGGGGUGCCCAGUGUGCGGGCCCUGAAAGGAGGGCAGAAAAGCGGCGCUGCAGGCAGGAUGCAGCCUUGAAACGGGGCACACAGGAGCCAGAAGCACGGGGAAGCAUCCACCCAAAGUUGUGUCUGCAGAGCGGUGUUUGGAGGAGCCUCUUGCUCAGCAUCAGUGCCGUGACAGCUCUCCCAGCUCACCGCCCGCUGCCAGCCACGCUCUCCUAUUGUUCCGAGCAGCUGCGGGCGGCAUCAACAACACCGGGAGAGGCAGGAAUUAGCUGGGGACACCCACUAAUUGCCCCCCCCCAGCUACCUGCACCCCCAGGAGGGGUGGAUGCCAGCCGGGGACAGGCGCUGCCCGCCUUCCUCCUCCCCAACACCCGCAGCCUCCCCCUCGCCCACCCGCCGGCCGAGGGCGGUGCUUGCGGCUCGGGGCGGUCCCGGCGUGGCCCCGCCGCCGUUCCCCGGUGCCCUGGAGCCUCUCCUGUCCCUGUCGCUGUCCCUGUCCCCAUCGCCGUCCCCAUCCUCGUCCCUGUCGCCGUCUCCCCGGGCCUGUCAGGGGCCGCCAUGGGGACCAACGCGCCGCCGCGCAGGGAGCCGCCCGCCCGCGGCCCCCACGGGAAGUAAGAGGUAGCACCUCUCGCAGCGUGGAGCCUCAGCAGCCCAAUGGCAGGGACGACUGGGCUGGUUUCUGACACACGCUGCCGGAAAGGUGUUCUCUAACCACACGAUUUUGGGUGGUCUCCUGCAUCCUGGCACGCACUCCGUCCCGGGAAAAAUGGGCUGCUUGUCUCUGGGUGGUGUUUGAGGUGUAUGGACUUUCCCAGGGGGACUCGGCGCAGCCGGUGGACGUGCCACGCUGAGGUCAGAGCAUCUGUCGGGAGAGCUUUCCUGCAAAGUCAGGGAGCCUUGCAGCAUUUGGUUUUACUUCUGUGUGAUUCCGGACUGUCUGUCAUUCAAACACCGCGUGUUAAAUCAAAGCUCUCGUAAAAUAUAACACGGAUAGCCAACCCAACUGAGAAAUGAGACUAUCCUGUAGGUUAAGUAAGAAUAACCACUGAGCAUUACUCAGAUGCUUUUUAUGUGAGUGUCUGUUUCAGAUAACUAUCGAAAGGAAGGAAGGAAAGAAGUAAAUUACCAUUUACCAUGGUUGUUGUUGUGUUGGUUUUUUUUCCAAACCAUUAUUUUUUCUUUCUUUCUAAAUGUCAUCCUGAGCUCUGAAGCUUUUCUCUUUGUCAUUUACAAGGUUCUGGCUUCCUGUCCAAGUAAAACACAUUUACAGAAGGUUUGUGGCAGGCUUUUCAUACUGUCUUUAGAGAUAGUUCCUCCUUUAAAAUUGUGUGCUUGCUUGUAAUUUUCUUUGACUUUUGCUUGUUGCUUGGAAAAGAAAACCGUUCCUGGAGGUUGCUGGUAAGGAAAAUAAGAGCUACAGAUAUUCCAAACAAAAAAUGAGGACGCUUCAUUCCUGACCCAGAAUUAAAAACAAACAUGUACUUUUAUACGGUGCCUGAUACAGAAAACAAUGUGCUUUCAGCUGGCAUUUGAUCCUUCCACGACAUCCCAACAAGCAUCUUCUAAUGGAAAAUAUGAAAUUGUUUCGGGAACUAGUAACAGCCACUAACAGCCAUAGUGUAGGAUUUAAGAUUGCCCUAAAAGUCACACAAUUAAAGGUGAUGUUUACCUAACUAAGGUGAUGAAAUCUGGUAUGUUACAAGCUUCCAAGACAGAAGGAUGUGCUCUUUUCUUAAUGAACAGCUACAGGAGAAAAAAAAUAAAUCAUUUCUUUGCCCUUUUUAUAUUCUGUCU